This 463-nucleotide ribosomal RNA is filed under the name Vreelandella stevensii. RNAcentral's name for it is "partial 16S ribosomal RNA". It matches the Rfam family "Bacterial small subunit ribosomal RNA", at positions 339 to 795 of the family's 1533-position model. Lineage: Bacteria; Pseudomonadati; Pseudomonadota; Gammaproteobacteria; Oceanospirillales; Halomonadaceae. The record is from RNAcentral.
CUAGGGGGGCUGCAGUGGGGAAUAUUGGACAAUGGGCGAAAGCCUGAUCCAGCCAUGCCGCGUGUGUGAAGAAGGCCUUCGGGUUGUAAAGCACUUUCAGUGGGGAAGAAAGCCUUGGGGCUAAUACCCUCGAGGAAGGACAUCACCCACAGAAGAAGCACCGGCUAACUCCGUGCCAGCAGCCGCGGUAAUACGGAGGGUGCGAGCGUUAAUCGGAAUUACUGGGCGUAAAGCGCGCGUAGGCGGUCUGAUAAGCCGGUUGUGAAAGCCCCGGGCUCAACCUGGGAACGGCAUCCGGAACUGUCAGGCUAGAGUGCAGGAGAGGAAGGUAGAAUUCCCGGUGUAGCGGUGAAAUGCGUAGAGAUCGGGAGGAAUACCAGUGGCGAAGGCGGCCUUCUGGACUGACACUGACGCUGAGGUGCGAAAGCGUGGGUAGCAAACAGGAUUAGAUACCCCGGUAGUC